RNAcentral lists this ribosomal RNA (465 nucleotides) under uncultured Klebsiella sp. RNAcentral's name for it is "bacterial SSU rRNA". It matches the Rfam family "Bacterial small subunit ribosomal RNA", at positions 338 to 795 of the family's 1533-position model. The record is from RNAcentral. Lineage: Bacteria; Pseudomonadati; Pseudomonadota; Gammaproteobacteria; Enterobacterales; Enterobacteriaceae.
CCUACGGGUGGCUGCAGUGGGGAAUAUUGCACAAUGGGCGCAAGCCUGAUGCAGCCAUGCCGCGUGUGUGAAGAAGGCCUUCGGGUUGUAAAGCACUUUCAGCGGGGAGGAAGGCGUUAAGGUUAAUAACCUUGGCGAUUGACGUUACCCGCCGAAGAAGCACCGGCUAACUCCGUGCCAGCAGCCGCGGUAAUACGGAGGGUGCAAGCGUUAAUCGGAAUUACUGGGCGUAAAGCGCACGCAGGCGGUCUGUCAAGUCGGAUGUGAAAUCCCCGGGCUCAACCUGGGAACUGCAUUCGAAACUGGGAGGCUAGAGUCUUGUAGAGGGGGGUAGAAUUCCAGGUGUAGCGGUGAAAUGCGUAGAGAUCUGGAGGAAUACCGGUGGCGAAGGCGGCCCCCUGGACAAAGACUGACGCUCAGGUGCGAAAGCGUGGGGAGCAAACAGGAUUAGAUACCCGAGUAGUC